Melopsittacus undulatus (budgerigar) is the source of this 247-nucleotide long non-coding RNA. RefSeq lists it as uncharacterized. The transcript is spliced from 3 exons. The record is from RefSeq and is a predicted model, not a curated record. Lineage: Eukaryota; Metazoa; Chordata; Aves; Psittaciformes; Psittaculidae.
UACCGAACUUUGGCCACAUGAUGGCAGCACCAGUCCUCUCUCGGCGCCGCACCUCCGCUUUCCCGACCCGGUUUGCCGCUGAUUGCCGCCCGAAGGACACACGAUCCAGCUUUUGUUGCAGUACUUGAAGAAUGACCCCAGGAAAGCUGUGAAGAGACUUGCAAUCCAAGAUUUAAAGUUGCUGGCCAACAAGACACCACAUACGUGGAGCAGAGAAAACAUUCAGGCACUCUGUGAAUCUGCUCUU